GAUGAACGCUAGCUACAGGCUUAACACAUGCAAGUCGCGGGGCAGCAUGGGGGUUGCUUGCAACCCCGGAUGGCGAGCGGCGCACGGGUCAGUAACGCGUAUCCAACCUGCCCUUCACCACGGGAUAACCCGGCGAAAGUCUGACUAAGACCGUAUGUUGUCCAUUGACGGCCUCCGAUUUGGACGAAGUGCUUGGUGGUGAAAGGGUGGGGCUGCGUCCGCUUAGCUUGACGGCGGGGUACCGGCCUACCCCGGCCACGAUCGGUAGGGGUUCUGAGAGGAAGGUACCCCGCACUGGAACUGGGACACGGACCAGACUCCUACGGGAGGGAGCAGAGUGGUACGGUAGGCACUGGGCGUAAGCCUGAACCAGCCAAGUAGCGUGUAGGAUGACGGCGCUGUGGGAUGUAUGCUGCUUUUAUGCGGGGAUAGAGUGGCCAACGGGUGGGCUUUUGCCGGUACCGCAUGAAUAAGGACCGGCUAAUUCCGUG
This 491-nucleotide ribosomal RNA is filed under the name uncultured bacterium. Its description in RNAcentral is "partial 16S ribosomal RNA". It matches the Rfam family "Bacterial small subunit ribosomal RNA", at positions 28 to 507 of the family's 1533-position model. The record is from RNAcentral.